CCCAUUGUAUCUGGGAAAUAACUAACUUGCUUUUGCUUUUACUGUUUCAUUGGCAGAAGGGACUUGCCUUGUCUCAGAUGAGAUUUUGGACAGAGAACUUUUGAGUUAAUGCUGAAAUGAGCUAAGACUUUUGGGGACUGUUGGGAAGGCAUGAUUGGUUUUGGAACGUGAGGACGUGAGAUUUGGGAGGAGCCAGAGGCGGAAUGAUAUGGUUUGGCUGUGUCCACACCCAAAUCUCAUUUUGAAUUGCAACUCCCACAGCUACCACAUGUCAGGGGAGGAACCCAGUGGGAGGUGAUUGAAUUAUGGGAGCUGAUCCUUCCUGCACUGUUCUCAUAUUGAAUGAGUGAGUCUACAAGAGCUGACGGUUUUAAAAAAACAGGAGUGUUCCUGCACAAUCUUUCUUUUUGCUUGCUGCCAUCCAUAUAAGACGCGACUUGCUUCUCCUGCAUUCCGCCAUGAUUGUGAGACCUCCCCAGCCACGUGGAACUGCAAGGUAAUAAUAUCAGAUCUCUGUCUAUAUAUAUGUGGAGUUGAUUGAAGGACUCAAAGCUUUAUACAGACCAAGUAAAGGCAUUGGACCCCUGGAAGACACACUCUGAUGCCAGCAGAACAGGCUUGCACUCAUAUCCAGAGUCUGAAGACCACUUCCAUGGACCACUGCUGGAAGAAGUGCCCCCAGAGUGGUCGAGCAACUGUGCACUCAUGCUCCUAGCCAGAGUAAUAGCUUCAUAGCCCCACCCCCAGCCAGCCAGACUCCAAGUUGGCUGAUCCACCAUGUGCAUGCAUGUGCCUCUGAACUGAAAAACAGCCUGUGCAAACAUGAGUAACAUGGGCCUGCUCUGGAGACUACUGGGAACACAAACACAGAUGGGGUCUCCCUAGGUUGCCCAGGCUGAUCUUGAACUCCUGGGCUCAAGCUAUCUUCCUGCUUUGACCUCCCAAAGUACUGAGAUUACAGGCAUGAGCCACUUCACCAGGCCUAUUUAUGUAUUUUUUUUUGAAUAAAUGUUUUGUGCACUUAAAAAAAAACUUGGAAAAUUUCAAAUAAACACAAAAUAAGAAAACAGUACAAUGAAUCCCAUGUUCCUGCCACACAGUCUCAAAAACCAACAUUUUUC
This is a long non-coding RNA of Gorilla gorilla gorilla (western lowland gorilla), 1121 nucleotides long. RefSeq lists it as uncharacterized. The record is from RefSeq and is a predicted model, not a curated record. The transcript is spliced from 4 exons. Lineage: Eukaryota; Metazoa; Chordata; Mammalia; Primates; Hominidae.